AUGAAUGUCUCUUUUUUAACAGAAGAACUUCCUCCAGGACACGGCGAGACCGGGUCGACCUCGUCCAGCUUCACGAACCUACGGCUCUCAGAGAAGGUAUAUCUUCACAGCGAUCUCCUAGUAGACCUUCAAACAGUAGGACUCAUAUUCUUUACUUUGGUGGUUGGCCGCCGUGCCACCUUGCUUGGCCGCCGCGCCUUGACUUCGCUUUGUUUGGCCGCCGUGCCCAUUCAUGGCCACUGUGCCAUACUAAGACGUCAAUUUCUUCUGACAACGCGUCCGUCCGCCCGUCCGUCCAACAUGGCCGCCCUUCCAUCAAUCAUCUUUUUCCUUUCUCCUUUCUGUCUCUGAGAUGUCUAGCAUAGCUCAGCUGGAGUCAAGUAGUAGGGAGAGAUGUCCUUUCUGUGCUUAAAGGGAAACAGUAGAGCGUUUAGUCAUCUGUGCAGUAUAACAGGGAACACUGAAAGCCCUUUAAGAGACUGACUCUGGUUCUGGUCAAUUAUUUAAACUAGGAACUGCUGAGUUAGUGAUGUCAAGUGAAUCGGACGUUGGCUCAGGGCUUGUCUGAGAAAAAAGCACUGGACUGGGAUCAGGUUUCGAAUGUAUUUUAUCGUGGAGUGGAGGUAUGUUUGUGUUGGCCUGAAUGGAUCUGCAGUGACUAUGCCUGAGAGUUUGUUUAAAGCUCAGCAGUUCAUAUUAAAGUGGCUAAUGGUGGUUUAAGAUCUUUGGCCUGUUGAAGGUGCCUGGCCUGCUGCGCCAUGGUUAAUUUGUGAAAGAAGCUUGAUUAUUGUUGCACUAACUUUUCCUUCAUAGGUGUCUCAACGAUGGGUAAGUCCAAUUUUUUGUGAUGUCUUUUUGAAUGGCUGCCGUGUCGGCCUCCCUGUGUCUUGUUGAUAGGUAAGAUUUUUUUGUUUUGUAGAGCAGGGGAAUAAAUCCCAAGUUUAGAGUUGUCUGUGUCCUAUAUUUCCUAAAGUCAUAGAAGUAGGCUAGAUGCAGAGUAGAAAGAUAGGGAACAGCUAACAGGUUCAAUACUUAAAAGUACAAUGUUUUUGUUAGUCUUACCAAAUUAUAAGACCAACAUUGAUUGCUCCAAAUAAUUAAUCUUCAAUUCUUAAAGAGUUAAAGAGCACUUAAAUAUAUUCAUUAAUCCGUCUCAAACACAACGGUGUAGGCUGUCUAGGCUGAAAUCUGAGUAUUACUCCAACAGACUGUAAAACCACCUAGAUUUUAUAAGACUUGGAUGUCUCCCUCGUCGUGCGCGCAAACGUUCGUCCGUCCAACUUGACCGCCACGCCGCUGUCCAGCAUUUUUUCCUCCUGAGGGAUUUCCAGAUGGUAGAUCCUUGUGGAUCUACCACCAUAAGUAAGUGCCUGUUUACUCUUUAUGGGCUGUGGUUUUGUUUGGCCUUUGUGCCAUGUGUUUAUUUUGCUUUGCUGCUGUGCCAUGACUGCAUUUCCAUUUCUCCAAUUUUCCAACAAAGAAGACCUGUUCCUCCGACGUUAUUGCGUGUCCGUCCCAAAUAUUUGAUUUAGUUGCGCGUCCAUCAAACAUUUUCCCCUGUGGAUCUACAGACAAGUGCCGUUUGUUUAACUUGGGGGCCGUGCCCAUCGCUCAUGGCUGCCGCGUCAUGACUUAGCUUUUUACGCUCGGCUACCUUGCCGAUCUAUCCAUCUCCCAUGGCCGCCGCGUCAUGACUUCGAUUUUUACGCUCGGCUACCUUGCCGAUCUAUCCAUCUCCCGUGGCCGCCGCGUCAUGACUCCGCUUUUUACGCUCGGCUACCUUGCCGAUCUAUCCAUCUCCCAUGGCCACCGCGUCAUGACUUGGCUUUUUUCCCUCUUGGCCCCCUUGCCGAUCAAUCCAUCUCUCAUGGCUGCCAUUUUGCCUGUUUCUUUGGCAACAGAAACGGGCAGCCAAAUGGCCACUUUACUCAAUGCGUAAAUCGUUUAUCAAAAUAGCUGUAAGUUUGUCCCUCCAACGUGGCCGUCACUGCGUUAUUGAGUCUUUAAUGUGAGAUAAAAUUUCCUUAGCUACAAAUGUCAAUUUCUUAAAUUGAGCUUCCCUCAACAAAGUAAAUGGAGCAUUUAAACCUUGAUUUCUCUAUUUUUCUUAAAUUAUUUUUUUUAUUUUGUUCAUGGGCAUUAGUGCUGCAUAAACGGGUGGUUUUUAGGUUCUUUUGUUUUGAACUGAAUCAGAUAUCGAACUGAUGGUUUGUCUGAGAACAGCUCUGACCAGUAAUCUGGAGUCAGUUUCAUUUAAGUAAAUGUUGGAGUUUUUAAGUUUCUGUUGGAAAGUUGCAGAAGUAAUCAGUCUGUAGUGAAGGUGUUCUGUAUUGGCCGUCGUGCCACAAGGCCUAAGCCUCUCUCUGUACAACAUGGCCGCCGUGCCCGUCUUAUCAUUUCCUGACUUUCAUUUCUCACUACGUCCAACGUGGUCGCGCGUUUGUCCGAACAUGACCGUCCGUUAGCCGGUGCAAGCAGGUUUAUUGUAUACCACAUUUCAGGAAGGCACUUAAAAAAGCUUUACAUAAAAUGUAAAAGGUUUCAAAAUUUGUAAAGCAACUUAAGACAAUACAAAAGUACUUUGAGAAAUUGGUUAAAUAAAUGAACUAAAAUAACACACUCAAAACAGUAGAUACACACAAAGGUUUUGAUUCAGCCAUGACUGCAUUUCCGUUUUCAUCCGUCCAACGUUUCAUCCGUCCAACAUUUAAUUUCCUGGAUCUACAGAGUAUUUGACUGCAUUUCAUUUUUUCAUUUCAUCCGUCCAACAUUUCGUCAUUUCAUUUCCCGGUGGAAGUACGAAGAGUGUUUGACUGCAUUUCAUUUUUUCAUUUCAUCCGUCCAACAUUUCGUCAUUUCAUUUCCCGGUGGAAGUACGAAGAGUGUUUGACUGCAUUUCAAUUUCUCCAUUUCAUCCGUCCAACAUUUCGUCAUUUCAUUUCCUGGUGGAAUUACGAAGAGUGUUUGACUGCAUUUCAAUUUCUCCAUUUCAUCCAACCAACAUUGAUGCCAUUUAAUCUCCGUGGCCGUCCGAAUUUUUAUUUCCCCCCUUGGUGGGUCAACAAGUAAGUGUUUUGCUUGUAUUGUGGUUUUGUUAAGCUGCUGUGCUGCUAAACUUUUUGAUGUCUUCUGUCCAAAAUUGCUGCCAUGUCUGUCAUCUCUUGUUUCUCUCAACAGUCUGUUGUCUCGUCUGACUGUCCUACAAGAAGGCUUUUGUCUGUCUCUGACUGAUGACUGACUUAUAGAAAUUAAAACUUGACUGACAUUAAUUGGACUCAGAAUAACAUUGAAGAAAUGUAAAUAGGCUUUAUUGGACUGACAUAUCAGACAUGUACAGUUUAUUAACUUUACUGGCAGAUUGGCAACGAACACUAAUAUUUAAACUUCAACAAUUAUAAAUUACAAUACUAUUAAAUUCCCAAGGACCAAACAGGCUUGUCAUAAAUGAGGCAAUUUGAGGAUCAAGAUUCAAAUUUUUCUUUUCUUACAAAGAGAACAAAUCCCUGUUUUUCAUAGUGUUGUAGGAUUAAAAUUCCAUCUAACCCCCCACGUCUGUCGCUGGUGGGCUACCAUCUACUGCAGGUAAGCGCAAUUUUUCUUUUUAAUAAUUGAAUCAUUUAAUUCAAUUUAAUGUCACGUCUGUCUUGUGGUGGGUGGGAGGGGUCAGAAUCAGGGUCACUUAUUCAUAUAAAAGGAUUGUUGGAAGUAGAAGUCCCCCCCUCACUUCUGAUUGCUGGGGAGUCUUUUCCUCAGUGUGAAUUGAUAAUGAUUAUUGUAGUUUUUUUCCAGUUAUCUAUCUGAUCAUAAAUUGGAGGCUUUUUUGGUUGUGUGGCUUUUUGAGCAGCUGUUUAAAUUAAAUUACCAGAACAUUGAUAUACUUAAAUUUCAUUGACACUACUUAAGUAUGGCAUUCUCAAGUAUUUAUUUGACCCUACUAUGUUUUAUGAAAGUCAUUUUAAGUUGUUUUUGGCAUAUGAUGGUUUUAAUUUUAUUUAACAAUUAUGUAAGAUUAGCUUGGUCGGCUAUUUAGCUUGGUACCAUUGUUCCAUCGACUGGUGAAGGUGCAUGUGAAAGUAGAGGUUCUCCAAAGAGUUGUGCUUAGAUAUUCAGCAUUGCCCAGAAGUAUUGAGUGUAGUUAUGCUGUCGAUCAUCACCACCCAAAUUUAGAUACUUGUUUCAUUGUAUGUUUAUUGCAAUAGACUUUUAAUUGAAUUGUUAUGUUUUUAAGUUUAAAGCUGACUUGUCUCACUCUGCCAAGUUUAACCUCAUCUGGAAACUCAAGUGGAACCUUUUGUGUUCAAUAGUUUUCGUAUCCACUCGUAUUUGCGCGUCUUGUUGGGAGGCCUCCCAGCAGGGGAUUAAUCUCUCCCCUGCAAAACGUUGGAUCACUAGCGCACCGUAGCAUCACUCACUGCGACGUCAGGAAUGCAGGGAUAUUGAACAAUUUCAUAUAUACAUGAGAUUGUCCUUGUUUGGUAGGCAGGGUACAGGAUAGGAGCGCGUUUGGGUUCUUUCAGAUGAAGCGAGCUUGGCAGAGAGGCAACUCUUGAUAACUUUGUCUAAAGAAACUAAUGGACACCCCAUUUUGCAGAAUUUUCCAUCUAUUGGUGUUGAGGCAGUCAAGAAAAGUGAACUGGUUUGUUAGAUGUACAAAGUUGACGGGACACUUAAAAUUCUCCCGAGUUACCUGUCAGUGACAGAUUUUGUACUGGGAUAUUAUACUAUGGGCUAAUUUCCAGAGGUUUUAAUGUUCAAAGGCAUUUUCUUGAAGUUGACAGGAUAGAAGAUUGGGCUCAAGGCUGUAAACAAUUGUUUUAGUGCCCUCUUGUGGCAGAAGUGUGCCGUUUCACUAUUGAGGUAGAUUUCCUUUUAGGAUUUACUCCAAUCGUAACUUGUCUUAAUGUUCACUUUAACCACCAGUUUUUGAUCCCUUCGCCUUUUGAUGUUAAGGUUGCAGUUUAACAUCCUUGUCCCCAGAGCCCAAGACACUGAGGGAGGAACCAGCAGAGAUCACUUGGGGCGAUUUUUAUGGUAUGUCUCGAGUGCAUUUGUAAUGGUGUUGUAGCAUCAAACUCCCCACACACACACCUUUUCAACAGCGGCUAACUGGUAUCUCUGACGUCCAUUAUUUGUAACCUUCAAAAAUCUACCAUCUACAAUGAGGCCCACUUUAUGCCACGAUUGGCUAGCUUGGCGAGUUAAUUGGGACGACGUUUGAUUCAAUGUCCUGCUUUGUUGCAUGAGAAACUGCUAUUACCUGGUUGUCUAGACUGAGUUCUUCCUCUGCUCCUGAUUCUGUAGCCCCCCGAAGCUUC
Long non-coding RNA from Scophthalmus maximus (turbot), 5315 nucleotides. NCBI's taxonomy places the organism in Eukaryota, Metazoa, Chordata, Actinopteri, Pleuronectiformes, Scophthalmidae. The record is from Ensembl.